Molecule: ribosomal RNA, 169 nt
Filed under: Inocybe albodiscoides
Lineage: Eukaryota; Fungi; Basidiomycota; Agaricomycetes; Agaricales; Inocybaceae
Description: partial 28S ribosomal RNA
Rfam family: Eukaryotic large subunit ribosomal RNA
Source: RNAcentral
UUGACCUCAAAUCAGGUAGGACUACCCGCUGAACUUAAGCAUAUCAAUAAGCGGAGGAAAAGAAACUAACAAGGAUUCCCCUAGUAACUGCGAGUGAAGCGGGAAAAGCUCAAAUUUGAAAUCUGGCAGUCUUUGAUUGUCCGAGUUGUAAUCUAGAGAAGUGUACCUG